GACGAACGCUGGCGGCGUGCUUAACACAUGCAAGUCGAGCGGUAAGGCCCUUUCGGGGGUACACGAGCGGCGAACGGGUGAGUAACACGUGGGUGACCUGCCCUCAGCUCUGGGAUAAGCCCGGGAACUAGGGUCUAAUACUGGAUAUGACUCCACGGUGCAUGCCGUGGGGUGGAAAGCCUUGUGCGGCUGAGGAUGGGCCCGCGGCCUAUCAGCUUGUUGGUGGGGUGAUGGCCUACCAAGGCGACGACGGGUAGCCGGCCUGAGAGGGCGACCGGCCACACUGGGACUGAGACACGGCCCAGACUCCUACGGGAGGCAGCAGUGGGGAAUCUUGCGCAAUGGGCGAAAGCCUGACGCAGCGACGCCGCGUGAGGGAUGACGGCCUGGUGUAA
RNAcentral lists this ribosomal RNA (395 nucleotides) under uncultured bacterium. Its description in RNAcentral is "bacterial SSU rRNA". It matches the Rfam family "Bacterial small subunit ribosomal RNA", at positions 28 to 428 of the family's 1533-position model. The record is from RNAcentral.